UCAUCUACUCACAGGACAGACCAUCACCUGCUUUAGAGGACAUGGUGUGUUGGGGAUGUUGUAUUGUGUGUUCAGCUUCUUUAACUGUGUGUCGGGAUGUUUUGUUGUUUAUGUAGGUUUUUAUUAUUCAUUAUUGCAUUGUGCACUGAGGCCGUUGGAUUGUGUGUUGGGCUUGUGUUGUAGAGAUGUUUGUGGCUGAUCAGCUGUUGUUUCGGCAAGUAUUGGUGUUUUUCUAACGGGAUCUUAAAAUUUUGUGCUUUUUUGUUUUUACCCUUAUGUUUACCUUCAUAAAACUAUAUCAAACUGUUGCACACAGAAAUAGCUUUUUUGUGCUCUGCUGGCAUAUGGAUAUGUGUGUGGCAUUUAAUAUUUGUAAGUUUACCUUUAAAAUGUCUUAUUUUCUGCUCUCUGCUUUGAUGUAGUUUCAUCCAGAAGUGUUUAGGACUGUAGCAUGGUGACCUGUUUAUCUCUCAGCCCUUGUGAAAAUGAUUAGAGUAAAAUGUCAUUACUUGCAGAGAUGGAGAGAGAGUGACGGUUCAAUCAGGCUGUGCACUGAACUGGCAUGAAAUCCAAGUAAAUGACCAUAAUUUUGUAGGUCAAAUUAAACUGAUUUGAGGAUGAGGAACAUCAAGUAGGAUAUUCAAGAGUGUGUUCAGGUCAUUAGGAUAACAGAUCAGAACAUGAAGAUACUGUACUCCUCAGACUAACACUGUACCGAUCAUCUCCUGUUUUUGUGAUACUGCGGUCACACCUUAUGUGGGAUGCCAUUAAAUAUUCAGCGUCACAGUGGA
Molecule: long non-coding RNA, 791 nt
Organism: Carassius gibelio (silver crucian carp)
Lineage: Eukaryota; Metazoa; Chordata; Actinopteri; Cypriniformes; Cyprinidae
Exons: 2
Source: RefSeq, a predicted model, not a curated record